GAAAGAAAAUGAAACCUAAUGCAAGAUAUAUAUUCACUGCAAACCACUCCCGAGUCCAAUCCUUCAUCCACCUGCCUCUAUUGUUCACUAUCCCAUCAAUUUGUGAUAGAUAAAAUAUCUAGAUGUUGACAUUAAAAACUGUGAGGCAGAUUCUGUCUGAGCCUGAUUAUAACUCACAUCUGCACAAGUUUAACUUGACAUCAGGUAGGUUUAUUAUAAGAUCCGAAUCAAACACAGGGGAGUAUAUUUAUGUGAGAUGUGUGAAGAAUUGAUGGCGUUUGGUUUGGGUCUCCAUCCACCAUAAGACCUGUGGGCUUGAGCACCUCAAACUGGACUGAAAGGACAUUUGUGGCUUGGUUUUCUUGUCUUUUUUCGGAUCGUUUCACUCUUUUCUUGCACGCAGCCAAAGCACAAAACAUCUGAGACUCAAAGGGAGAACAGGAAGUGUUUGCCUUCAUUUCCUCCGCAUUGCCAAACCACCAACCGGUGAAGAAACAGGGAGGACAAUUAUCUGUACACGAAACUAACUAAAGUUUAUUUUAGGAUCUUUACAUGUCAACAAACUGUUUCUAGACAAAAUGUGUAUAUAUAGAAUGUUAAAGAAAUGGUAUGUACUAAACACAAACUGUUAUUGUUUGAAUUGAUGAUCGUUUCAUCAUUAAUAAGGACAGUAACACGAAUGCAAAAUACAAUGUACAUUCGUAAUGAAAGAA
Molecule: long non-coding RNA, 713 nt
Organism: Carassius carassius (crucian carp)
Lineage: Eukaryota; Metazoa; Chordata; Actinopteri; Cypriniformes; Cyprinidae
Exons: 2
Source: RefSeq, a predicted model, not a curated record